This 337-nucleotide long non-coding RNA is filed under the name Elaeis guineensis (African oil palm). RNAcentral's name for it is "long non-coding RNA (EGUI_LNC063615)". The record is from RNAcentral. Lineage: Eukaryota; Viridiplantae; Streptophyta; Magnoliopsida; Arecales; Arecaceae.
AGGGCUAAAAAGUUUGCUGGAAAUUUUCUUUUCAAAAAUCUCUCUUCUUGAUGAUUCCCACAUUUUUGUCCCUUUUAUAGCUUUAAGAAAUGGUGGAGAACAAUCUGGGCUGAAAUAGAGCCGUUAGACCAUAUUAAAUGAGCAUUAAAAGCAUUUAAAAUGGGUUAAAAACUAGCCGUUGCGAAAUUUUUCCGUCACAGGGGUCGACUCAUGGGUCGACUCAUGCUCAUGGGUCGACCUCUGUGGAAAAACAACAGAAAUCCAACAGAAAAGCAAGGUUCUGUAAGUUUGGCCUAAAAACAGCAGAGGUCGACUCAUGGGUCGACUCAUGCCUGGG